CUCUUUUAUUGUGUCAGACUUUCUGUUCUGUUCUCAGUGAAACGACACAAAUACGUUGCUUCAGAACUGGCUAAGAGAUGCGCAUGGAGGAGGUUGCUAGCAGGUUCAGCAUGAUUAGCACCCCUGGAAGCAGAAAGAGGUUGGUUUAAUGAUUGCAAAUGAUUGUUUAUGUAUUUAAGAGACAGAAAGGUUGUCGUUAAUUCAUUUUAUUAAAUGCUGUAACAUAAAUAGUUUCAAAGCUAUUGAUUUAUGUCAAUGUCACUAUUUGAGUUAAUCAAAAUAAUUUUCUAUAUAGUAAAAUGUGAACAUUUCUGCACUUUCUACUUAAAUGUUAUAAUGGCAUUUGUUUGUGCAUCUUUAUAGUUUUCAUGGUGGUUUAAAGAGGAGAGAAUAAAGUGGCAUCAGUCGAAGCUUUCUGCGUUAUGAGUGGUAAUUCCAAGUGGGCAGCUACAAACACCACUGGAUAAGGACACAGAUAAAAUGUGUUAGCAGUCUGAGGCCUGUUGUCCAUCAUUGUACUUAUGAAGUCAUUUUUUUUCUCUGAGAAGGGACGGGGAAGUAUUUCUGUGAGAAUGUGGGUACAGCAGCAAAGCUCUGGAGGUGUGAGACUCUAAUGUUGACCACAAAAACACUUUAGAAAUACAAAUGGUUCACACACUGAUGUCUAAUAGAACUUUAGGUCCUCACUAUUUUGUUUUUCCUCAUCAGUGGAUUCAAAAAUACACAUUAUAUGACACACACAAGUAAACCUCUAAAAGUUUUUUGGUCACUGCUCCAACUUACUUUAUGUAGUCCACUGAUGUUAUUGUAGGUCUAAAGCUCAUAAAAUCUAACUGCAAAGAAACUGAAUCAGCCACAUCUGAGUUUAAACUGUUUAACCAGUGUAUGGCAGGGUUGUGGUCUCCGGCCUGCUGCAGUGGAGGGGCAUACAGUGAGCUCUCAGGCGGCAUCGAGAUGGCAGAGGAGACAGGUUUAUGUGCUGUGACUGAUGACUUUCUCUCUUCCCCUGUAUAUAGUGACGGCGGAGACGCAGAGGAGAUCAAAUGUCAGUGAAGGAGCUGCAAGAGGAGCUGUUCCCUGUGUCACCAGUGCUGUAACCCAAAAGCUGCUGAACAAGCAAAAUAAACUCAGUUUCAAGCACAUCAAACCCUGUGUGUGUUGGAACCUUGCUACACAGUGAAACAAUGAUUAUUUUAAAAAUUUAAAUGAAAUCUGUGAAAGAUUUGUCCAAGAACAUUGCAGGAGCUCCUGACUGAGAAACCAAAUGAUUUUAAAUGUGACCUACAAAAUUAUUAUUUUCUGGAUUUUUAUAAUGAUCAGUCUGUUAUAAAUCUAA
Oreochromis niloticus (Nile tilapia) is the source of this 1336-nucleotide long non-coding RNA. RefSeq lists it as uncharacterized. Lineage: Eukaryota; Metazoa; Chordata; Actinopteri; Cichliformes; Cichlidae. The record is from RefSeq and is a predicted model, not a curated record. The transcript has 2 exons.